RNAcentral lists this ribosomal RNA (285 nucleotides) under Monacha claustralis. RNAcentral describes it as "partial 16S ribosomal RNA". Lineage: Eukaryota; Metazoa; Mollusca; Gastropoda; Stylommatophora; Hygromiidae. The record is from RNAcentral.
UCAGUUGGCUUAUAAUUGAAGUCUAGUAUGAAUGGGAACACGGGAAUAUUCUGUCUUUAAUAUAUAAAAGAAAUUACUAAUUAAGUGAAAAUUCUUAAAAGUAAGAAAAUAGACGAGAAGACCCUAGAAAUUUUUUUAAUUUGAUUUUGUUGGGGCGACAGGGUAACAAAAAACUUACCUAAAGUAAUAGGAAAUUUUUUAGUGGUGUAAUUAAAUUACUCUAGGGAUAACAGCAUAAUAUUUUAAAGGUUGUGACCUCGAUGUUGGACUAGGAAAUACACUACU